GGGUUUCCCAACUGGUGGCCCGUGGGCCAAAUUGUUUUAUUUGCCCCCCCAAAAUACAAAUAUAAAUACGUUUUUGUUUCAUAGUAGGACAUAAGACUGCAAUAACACCAGGAAAUCAGCGCCAAGUGAUUUUCAUUUAAGAAAUCUGUUCCCAAGUAUUCCCAUGCAUAAGUGAUUGUAUACAAAUAAGCAAGGUUUGAAAUUGUUUUAUGCAAACAUUAUACUGUAUCUGUUUGGCCCUCUUGCAGUCAAUUUGCAGUCUACAAAUUAUUUGUAAUUGUGUUCCGGUCCCCCGACCAUCCACUCAAGAAUAAAUCGGCCCGCGGCUGAAUCUAGUUGAUCCCUGAUAUACACCCCCUACCAACCUAUGGUGUGCCAGCCAGACCUGGGUUUCAAAUACUUAAAUCUAUUAAAUACUUUGCCUGUUUGAGCUUGCCUUAUUUAAUAAAUCAAUAGUAAAGUCCCCAAACUGCAAACCCCACCCGACAUUCCAUGCCAGGUCUAGCUAAAAUCUCUAGCCCUAUGACCACUUAAACCUGCCCAAAAGGCCUGAAAACUAGAACAUUUCUUUACACAGAGAGAGGUGUUGCAGCAUUUAUCCAAUAAACCCUUUUUCCAUAGCAUUAUCGAGCCAAUUAGGAAAGAAUAUCAAUGGAACUUGUAAGGACUUCAGAAGCCAAUUUUGGUGUAUAAUUUGAAAUAAAUCCCUUUUCUACAUGUGCAUAACUACAGUGCAUUUGGAAAGUAUUUAGACCCCCUUCACUUUCACAUUUUGUUACUUUACAGCCUUAUUCUAAAAUUGACUUAAAUCUGGGUUGUCUCCUCAAUCUACAUACAUUACCCCAUUAUGACAAAGUAAAAACAGGUUUAGAAAUGUUUACAAAUAUAUUAAAAAUAACACUGAAAUAUCCCAAGUAUUCAGACCCUUUACUCGGUACUUUGUUGAAGCACCUUCAGCAGCAAUUACAGCCCCGAGUCUACUUGGGUAUGACACUACAAGCCUGGCACACCUGUAUUUGGGGGAGUUUCUCCCAUUCUUCUCUGCAGAUCCUAUCAAGCUCUGUCAGGUUGGAUGGGAAGGGUUGCUGCACAGCUAUUUUCAGGUCUCUCCAAAGAACUUCGAUCAGGCUCAGGUUGGGCCACUCCAGGACGUGUGUCCCUAAGACUCUCCUACGUUGUCUUGGCUGUGUGCUUAGGGUAGUUGUCCUGUUUGGAAGGUGAACCUUUGCCCCCAGCCUGUCCUGAGCAGGUUUUCAUCAAGGAUCUCUCUGUACUUUGUUCUGUUCAUCUUUCCCUCGAUACUGACUGGUCUCCCUGUUGCUGAAAAAAAUCCCCACAGCAUGAUACUGCCACCAUGCUUCACCGUAGGGAUGGUGCCAAGUUUCUUCCAGAUAUGAUGCUUGGCAUUCAGGCCAAAAGGUUACAUCUUGGUUUCAUCAGACCAGAGAAUCUCUUGUUUCUCAGGGGCUGAGUCUUUAGGUGCCUUUUGGCAAACUCCAAGCGGGCUGCCGUGUGGCUUUUUACUGAGGAGUGGCUUCCGUCUGGCCACUCUACCAUAAAGGCCUGAUUGGUAGAGUGCUACAGAGAUGUUUGUCCUUCUGGAAGGUUCUCCACAGAGGAGCUCUGGAGCGCUUUGAGUGACCAUUGGGUUUUGUCACCUCCCUAAUGAAAAUAACGUUAACGCUAUAUUGUCGCCCAUACUGAAAAUCUUAGCUAGGCAAGCAAAUAUUAACGUAACUAAGUUUGUAGACAAAUUAUCGACUUGUCAGUCAUUAUCUUCGCCGUCAGUGGCGCCCGUUCUAUGUAAUUUCUAUUGUCAACAGAAAGGACGCCAAAGACGGCGAAGCUAAAUAAUCGACUGUCAGUCAUUGGGGCACAUUUACACCUUAACACUGAGGAUAAUAAUCAUUGUAACAGCAUGACCUUGAGUGUGAUGUUGCUUUUAUACAACAGUUCUACAAGCGCCAUUUAUUAGUUGACAGUAAUAAGCACCAAAAGAUUUUAUUUGGCUCCGCCAACAAGUUCCACAACUGGACUGGAGCCAAGCACCAAACAUUUUCCUGCACACUAGCUUGCUACUUUCUGUAGGUCUACACGUUACCGUUUAAUUUAACUCAAAUGUUAUUUGUGGGAAUAUGUUCAUCUUUGCGGUGCGAAGUUUGUUACAAUCUAAGUUAACGAUCGUUAAUGUAAUUAACGGUUAUUAGAACACCUGUAAAGCGGAGUGAUACAUGAAUAGUUAAAAGUCUGUGCUGUUAUACUCUACUCCAAUCAAAUAACUUGGUCGUAUUAUAAAUACUUGUGAACAUUCAGUUAUUUACGCUCUUUUCAUCGAAAGCAGUGGGACCGUUUUACUUGCUUUUAGUAACGUUCAAGAUGCUUUGGUGGUGCGUUAUCUGCUGCGUUUUUAUUACUUUUUCAUUGAAGCUGAGCCUUAUCAAUAUAUUGCACAGUCGCAGCCCUGCUUUCCAGUUGCUCUGUGGUAUUGACGGAUGCACUGAGGAAUAUAGAGUGUACAAUUCCUUCUAUCAUGUAAAGAGAAGACACCUUCAACACCUACUUGAAGGCACCGGACCAGGUCAACAGCCAUCGGCGGAAGUCCACUACCACCAGAACAAGUAGGUAGCUAGUUAGGAUUAUUUUUCUCCUGGAUUUAAAAAAAUAUAUAUUUUAUGAACUAUUUGAUAAUUUCAGCUAUAAUUGCUAAUGCUGGAUUAAUGUGAAAAGAAUCUGAUAAAUGGGUGCAAAAUACUUAAAGCUCUUGGUGAAACUAAAUACAAUUUCAAAUAAUAAUCUCUUUGAUAUGUGGUACACAGGACAACAUUCAUCCCGAUCAGCUUCUAGCUAACUCCAAACACCGGACUUGGAUGAAGGGCAAAGGGGCAUUGACCAACAUGGAGCUGUCAGUGCAACAACACAUGCCACUGCUUUUGUGAUAAAUGCCAGAGCCAAGCAUUGUCUCACAGAAAGGCGUGAAUGACAUUGUUGCUGGGGUACAGCAGUAUCAAUCAUCACUAUUGGACAACCUCAGGAAGCAGGUGGAGGGAGUGCUAAAGUAGAGGUCGACCGAUUUAAUUCGGGCCGAUUUCAAGUUUUCAUAACAAUCGGAAAUCGGUAUUUGAGCGCCGAUUUGAAACAUUUUUUCUAUAUAUAUAUCUUAUUUAAUUAGGCAAGUCAGUUAACACAUUCUUAUUUUCAAUGACUGCCUAGGAAUGGUGGGUUAACUGCCUCGUUCAGGGGCAGAAAGACAGAUUUUCACCUUGUCAGCUCGGGGGAUCCAAUCUUGCAACCUUACAGUUAACUAGUCCAACGCAAUAACGACCUGCCUCUCGUUGCACUCCACAAGGAGACUGCCUGUUACGCGAAUGCAGUAAGCCAAGGUAAGUUGCUAGCUAGCAUUAAACUUAUCUUAUAAAAAUAAAUCAUAAUCACUAGUUAACUACACAUGGUUGAUAUUACUAGAUAUUAUCUAGCGUGUCCUGCGCUGCAUAUAAUCUGACUGAGCAUACAAGUAUCUGACUGAGCGGUGCUAGGCAGAAGCAGGCGUGUAAACAUUCAUUCAAACAGCCCUUUCGUGCGUUUUGCCAGCAGCACUUCGUUAUGCGUCAAGCAUUGCACUGUUUAUGACUUCAAGCCUAUCAACUCCCGAGAUGAGGCUGGUGUAACCGAAGUGAAAUGGCUGGCUAGUUAGCGCGCGCUAAUAGCGUUUCAAACUUCACUCGCUCUAAGCCUUCUAGUAGUUAUUCCCCUUGCUCUGCAUCGGUAACGCUGAGCCCAGGGAGCGAGGAGAAGGACGGAAGCUAUACUGUUACACUGGCAAUACUAAAGUGCCUAUAAGAACAUCUAAUAGUCAAAGGUUAAUGAAAUACAAAUGGUAUAGAGGGAAAUAGUCCUAUAAUAACUACAACCUAAAGUCUUACCUGGGAAUAUUGGAGACUCGUGUUAAAAGGAACCACCAGCUUUCAUAUGUUCUCAUGUUCUGAGCAAGGAACUGAAACGUUAGCCUUCUUACAUUGCACUUUUACUUUCUUCAACACUUUGUUUUUGUAUUAUUUAAACCAAAUUGAACACGUUUAAUUAUUUACUUGAGGCUAAAUUGAUUUUGAUGUCUAAUUUUGUAAAACAUAAUACCACGACAGACUUCAAACCUGGCCAGAAAAAAUGUUGAAGGGCUUUGUUUAAAGUCUUUGUGAUCCCCAAAUGUCCAGACCACGCCUGGUCAUGGGCGAGUGACAGCACCUGCUGUCGGAACAACCACUUGACACACUUCACUCCAGUCACUGUUAUGAGCUUCCCAUUUACACAUCAAAACUCCUGCUUCCAUGAAGUAGGCGGUCUCCCUAGUUUUAGCUUCCUCAGUGGAAAUUACUGAAGCAAAACACUUGAAGACUUGAAGACCCUUCUGACAUUCAAUCACCUUCUUGGGGGUGACAGACGAUGUCAUGUAAUUGGUGCACGAUUUCACUUUCCCUUGCCAUAGUUUUUACGGGGGUAAAAACCAUCAGCAUUGCAGAAGGAAUACUCAGUGCAGUGUCUUCUACCUCAACAUUCUCAAAAAUGGAACUAGACAAAUCCACCACAUCUCCCAGCUUGUGAGAUUGUGCCCUUGUUAACACACAAGCAGGAAAAACAGGGAAAUGCUUGAACCAAUUUAUCGUCUACUACCUAACACAGGAGUGACGUUACCACCAGCGAUAUCGUUCUCUAGUAGCAAUGUGGGAACGCAACACCCUGCUACACUUAGCUCCCUGUGGAGUGAAAGUAGUAUGGGAUUGCAGGUGCGGGUAAGGAUGGCAAAGAACUUUACUGUUACCAGGGAAUGUAUUUCCUUCACACGGUAAUUUGGGAAAGGGGGCUGGAUGGAACCAAAGCAAAGAAAGUAAAUGUUAGUCCUCUACCUUACCUGCCUAGCCACUACUUACCUAACCUUAACGCCACCUGGCGCGCUAACCAAAAUACAGGGGGUGGUCUGCCCAGGUCUUACGUAGUGUGCAUAGACAGAGUACACACUACGGGUAUAUGUAUGCCCGCAGGCUUCUUGCCUAAGCACACCCAAGGUGCCUUCCCCUUCCCCCCUGGGAACAAAUGAAAUAAUUAACUUUAAAGUGAACAAUUUCAAUAAUCACAAACAGUCCUUUUGGCAUACGCAUACCUCAGUAGGACUGGCUAUAAAAUCCUUUACAGAACAACAACGAAACACAGGACAUACAAAGAAGCACUCUCCUUCCUAACAAAGGAACACAGGCUUUUAUCCAGCUGCAGAAGGAGUUUGUAAUUUCCAACAGCUGGAUCCCCUAACGAAAGGGUGGGAUUAGACCUCCACUCUGCAAUGGGGCCAACCAAUCAGCUGCUUGGGGGAAUCCAGGAAGCCAUUUCCUGAAAUACAUACUGGGGAACAUAACAUAUGCACACAUACACAACUGAUAAUUGAGCUAAUAGAGAUUGUACAGAUAGUAUUUGCAACUGUUCUUUCCAUUGCGACUGUGUCUAGGUUGAAGUUACUCAUUGAAAGUCAUUUGAAGCAUUGGAAGGAGCUUUUUUCAGACUGCAAUGUUACACCUAAACAGCAUUAUAUGAUACAUUUGCCACCACAGAUAGUCAUUGGGUCCAAUGGUAAGACGUGUAUGCGGUUCGAGUUUAAACAUUGUUUCUUUAAACAAUGCACCUCCAAGCUCAAUUGAAAAAAUAUUUUCAAGUCUUUGAUCAAUCAGAACCAAAUAUAUGAAGCUGCCAAAGUGUUGACAGUUCAAUGCAACCAUUUUUUUUUUCAAAUGAAAGGGAGGUGGGACCUGUAUCAAAGGUUGAAGAGCUUUGGUUGAAGAUCUAUUCAUGUGGAACAUUGAGUGACUUCCUAGAUUUCAAUGAAGUAAACCAUGCUGUAUCUGUCAUGGCUUGUAAUAAAUACAUAACUCAGAAGUCCAUGAUCUUUGCUAAAGUUCUGAAUUCCACAAUUUGGACUGGUCAAAAACAUAUUUCUUGUUGAUUCUGGGCUUUAUUGUUUGGAUUAUCAACCAUAUCAAAUGAUAUGCUUUGAUAGAAACAUGGCUUGUCAAGUUGAGGUCCAACACCUUGCACAGGCCACUGAGUUAGCGGAUGCUGAAAAGCUGGUUGAGUUUACCUCCUAUUACACAAUUAGCAACGAGCCAAACUUUAUGUACAAGUCAAAUACCAUCUUGGGGAUGUAAUAGAAUUGUACAACAGUUCAAAUGACUCUGUGUUCCCCAGAUAUGAAAAGUGUACUGUCUUUGUUCUGUACUGUAUUUUGCCUACAUGAUUGCUGUGCUGUGUGUAAGAUUGACAAUA
Oncorhynchus masou masou (cherry salmon) is the source of this 6303-nucleotide long non-coding RNA. RefSeq lists it as uncharacterized. The transcript is spliced from 3 exons. The record is from RefSeq and is a predicted model, not a curated record. Lineage: Eukaryota; Metazoa; Chordata; Actinopteri; Salmoniformes; Salmonidae.